UACGUAGACCUCGAGCGUUAUCCGGAUUUACUGGGCGUAAAGCGUGCGUAGGUGUCUUCGCAAGUCUCUGGUGAAAUCUCUCCGCCUAACGGAGAAACUGUCAGAGAAACUGCGAAGAUAGAGUAUGACAGAGGCAGAUGGAAUUCCCGGUGUAGCGGUAAAAUGCGUUGAUAUCGGGAAGAACACCAGUGGCGAAGGCGAUCUGCUGGGUCAUCACUGACACUGAGGCACGAAAGCGUGGGUAGCGAACGGG
RNAcentral lists this ribosomal RNA (253 nucleotides) under uncultured bacterium. RNAcentral describes it as "partial 16S ribosomal RNA". It matches the Rfam family "Bacterial small subunit ribosomal RNA", at positions 524 to 776 of the family's 1533-position model. The record is from RNAcentral.